This 506-nucleotide ribosomal RNA is filed under the name uncultured bacterium. Its description in RNAcentral is "partial 16S ribosomal RNA". It matches the Rfam family "Bacterial small subunit ribosomal RNA", at positions 30 to 523 of the family's 1533-position model. The record is from RNAcentral.
AUUGAACGCUGGCGGCAGGCCUAACACAUGCAAGUCGAACGGUAACAGGAAACAGCUUGCUGUUUCGCUGACGAGUGGCGGACGGGUGAGUAAUGUCUGGGAAACUGCCUGAUGGAGGGGGAUAACUACUGGAAACGGUAGCUAAUACCGCAUAACGUCGCAAGACCAAAGAGGGGGACCUUCGGGCCUCUUGCCAUCGGAUGUGCCCAGAUGGGAUUAGCUAGUAGGUGGGGUAACGGCUCACCUAGGCGACGCUCCCUAGCUGGUCUGAGGGGAUGACCAGCCACACUGGAGCUGAGACCCGGUCCAGCCUCCUACGGGAGGCAGCAGUGGGGAAUAUUGCACAAUGGGCGGAAGCCUGAUGCAGCCAUGCCGCGUGUAUGAAGAAGGCCUUCGGGUUGUAAAGUACUUUCAGCGGGGAGGAAGGGAGUAAAGUUAAUACCUUUGCUCAUUGACGUUACCCGCAGAAGAAGCACCGGCUAACUCCGUGCCAGCCGCCGCCGUAA